GGAGAGGUGCCUGAGUGGCCGAAAGGAACAGUUUGCUAAACUGUCGUACUGGUAACGGUACCGCGGGUUCGAAUCCCGCCCUCUCCGCCA
Molecule: transfer RNA, 90 nt
Filed under: Pedobacter roseus
Lineage: Bacteria; Pseudomonadati; Bacteroidota; Sphingobacteriia; Sphingobacteriales; Sphingobacteriaceae
Also listed under: 3 other names
Description: tRNA-Ser
Rfam family: tRNA
About the family: Transfer RNA (tRNA) molecules are approximately 80 nucleotides in length. Their secondary structure includes four short double-helical elements and three loops (D, anti-codon, and T loops). Further hydrogen bonds mediate the characteristic L-shaped molecular structure. tRNAs have two regions of fundamental functional importance: the anti-codon, which is responsible for specific mRNA codon recognition, and the 3' end, to which the tRNAs corresponding amino acid is attached (by aminoacyl-tRNA synthetases). tRNAs cope with the degeneracy of the genetic code in two manners: having more than one tRNA (with a specific anti-codon) for a particular amino acid; and 'wobble' base-pairing, i.e. permitting non-standard base-pairing at the 3rd anti-codon position.
Source: RNAcentral